Molecule: non-coding RNA, 2564 nt
Organism: Thamnophis sirtalis
Lineage: Eukaryota; Metazoa; Chordata; Lepidosauria; Squamata; Natricidae
Source: RefSeq, a predicted model, not a curated record
AGCUGUUUUUAGCCCCAAAAAACUGGCCUGAAAACAUUCCCCCAAACGUCCAAAAAACAGGCAUGUGUGGGUCAUCCAUCUGGUCUUUGGAUCUUUGGUGCUCUGGCACAAUGGCAUGCAGGGUCCGGUUGGGCCAAAAAGGUUCUCCAUCCCUGUCCCAGGAGAAGGGAAAAGUCCUCAUUUCAUCUGGAGAGCAAAAGGGGAAAAAAGCUUUCUUUUUUUAAAAAAAACAAAAAAACCCAUUCUUCAUGCAUGCGAUACAGUUUUUGAAUUUUUUUAUUAUUUUCUUCUUUAUUUCCAUCCCUGACAAACAAUUUUAGUACAUUUUCGGCUUUUUGCUGGAUGACUUAACAGAAUGAGAAAGUUUUAGAGAAGGGUGGUUUUUUUUAGUUUACUUUAUUUUAUUUUGUAGCAUAAAACCAGGAAGGUUUUUCUUUUAUCUCCUCCUUUCGUGAUUUUGCUAUAAAACCCUUUUCUCUUUCUUCAGAAGCGACCUUUUGCUAUUUUUAAACUGCCACCUUAUACCUGCUGUAUCUUUCUGUAUUUAUUGUUUCUCUGCCUACUGCAACUGUGAAGCCAAAACCAAUGAUUCUGCUGCUAGUUUUAUCCCAAAUUCUACUUCUGACCUGUCCUCUUCAACUGACUUAUCACGUCGAAUUAUACAGAAACCGCUUGCAGAGAGGAGCGGCUCAGAGGUUACGUCCAAAGGCAGCAGGGUUACGCCGCGUGCCAGACGGCCGAGAAGGUCCUGAGGCUGGAGUGCCAGGGGGGCUGCGGGGACGGCCAGUGCUGCCGGCCGCUCAGGAGCAAGAAGAGGAAGUACCUUUUUGAGUGCACCGACGGCUCCUCCUUCGUGGACGAAGUCGAAAAAGUGCUCCGAUGCGGCUGCACCCAGUGCCUCUCUUAACGACCUGUCCUUUUCCCGUUUUCACUCGUUCCUUUCCGAAAAAAAUCCCCGCACGGGGCCACAUCUCGGACUAAAAGUUACGCUCUGUAGGGGAUAUAUAUUGUAAAAUACAGAACAGGCUUAUUUUUAUUACGAGAAUAAAGAACUGUUUCUUUAACUACAAACAGACGAAAAAGAUAAAAAAAUCAAAAUCGAGUGCGCAAAGAAACUUCUUGCAACUCCAAGGACUUGAAGAAGGAAAUAUGUAUAUGUAAAAAAAAAAAACAGAACCGAUGGAAAUUUUCCAACCAGGAUAGGAAAGAUUCACUACUUUUUAACACCCAGCGUUUUUUCAUCCCGCUUUGAAGCUCAGUUAUCUUUCAGUCUGGUCCUUGGACGGAGGAGGAGGGAGAAUACGCAGCUUUUCCUUUUUAUGUACUUUAACUACAGCUGGGGGUGAGGGAACGCGCUUCACUUCGGCUUGGUUUCAAUUCCUUCCCGAGCCCGAGAAGUUAGGCUCUCUGGCGGAGGAGAUCCGUUUUCUACAAGAUGGAGAGGAAAAAAAAGUGAUGCAUUUUGUACAGUGUAAAAAAAGUUGAGAAAAUGAGAGCUUUUGUUAAUUCACAAUUAUCCUAAGAUCUUCUAACACGAUUUUUUUUUUAAUGUUAGCAUGUUACAAAGAAAAGGAAGGAAGAAAAAGCAUUUACCCACCCUCUUGCAGUAUUAAUUUUUCUUUUUGUAAUAUAAAUGAUAAGAUUGAUAAAAUAGAGUAUUGUCGAGAAAAUUAGAUAUAAUGCGGAGUUUCGUUUCUAUCAAUCCUGAACAGCUCUAUACAGUAUUCUGUUUAUUGAGAAAUAUUUAUUGUAUCAAAGUACACUGUACUUAACAUCUAGGCCAAUCUUUUUACUUCCCCCCAACCCCUCCAAUGCUUUAAUAUAUAUUAAUUUAUAUUUGUCCUGAUAUUUUUGUAUUUUCAGUUGUUUUUUUAAAGAGAGAGAGGAAAACUUAAAAUCAGGAUAUUUGCAAUAGGACUAAUAUAGCAGAUUCUCCCGGGAUAAAUAGAUUUGAUCUGGGUUAAUAUUUUUUACUGCACCACCUGCCAGCUUUCUGACUGUCUUAGGAACGGAAGCUGCAAACAAUCUGAUUAUAAUUUUCAUUAUAACAAGGAAAUAUGACAUCUCUCAAAUCUUUGUAAUAUAUGAGGAAAUUGUCUUUACAAAUAGGUGGCAAAUGUUAUAGGUGUGAUUUCGCCCCCCCUCCUUCUCCCAAGUAUACGCUACUUUUCAGAAAAUGAAAUUAUGUGUUGAAAAUGACACUUAGAAGAUAGAUAUUUUCAAACUAAUGUUCCCUUGGAGUUUCGUACCUUUAAAAUGAAUUAAAGAGGCUGUAUUACCAUUUCCCCCAUUAUUAAAACUACUUUAAACGCCCAGAUAUUUUCCUUUGUUAACAUGUUGCUGCUAAGUAUAAUAUAGAAUUGGUAAUAAUUCUUUAUAGUGGGUUGUUCUCUUUUUUUUUUAAAGUAAAUCAUAGGGUACCCUGUAAAAAAGGGGGGUUUAAUUUCUUUUAUACAAGGAAAAGAUAGUUGUACAUGUGUAAUAUGGUGUUGCUUUGUCUAAUUUGGACGGGGAUCAGUACCUUGACUGAUGUUUGUAAAUUAAACAGAUCCUUUACCUCUGUU